UGGGGAAUAUUGCACAAUGGAGGGAACUCUGAUGCAGCGACGCCGCGUGAGUGAUGAAGGAAUUCGUUUCGUAAAACUCUGUUCUAUGGGAAGAAAAGGACUGUACCAUAGCAGAAAGCUCCGGCUAAAUACGUGCCAGCAGCCGCGGUAAUACGUAUGGAGCGAGCGUUGUCCGGAAUUAUUGGGCGUAAAGGGUGCGCAGGCGGCUUUACAAGUUGGAUGUGAAAUAUUGUGGCUCAACCACAAACGUGCAUCCAAAACUGCAAAGCUUGAGUUAAGGAGAGGUAAGUGGAAUUCCUGGUGUAGCGGUGGAAUGCGUAGAUAUCAGGAGGAAUACCGGUGGCGAAGGCGACUUACUGGACUUAAACUGACGCUCAGGCACGAAAGCGUGGGGAGCAAACAGG
Molecule: ribosomal RNA, 404 nt
Filed under: Fusobacteriota bacterium
Lineage: Bacteria; Fusobacteriati; Fusobacteriota
Description: Fusobacteria bacterium partial 16S ribosomal RNA
Rfam family: Bacterial small subunit ribosomal RNA
Source: RNAcentral